UGAAAGAAGUAGUGUUGCUGAAUUAACACUACGGCAUUGAACAGGGCCUGAAUACUUGGUGUUCCAGGGAAACAGCACUGCACCAUGCCACCUGUAGGUAAAGGAUCCCUCAUCAGGCCAAUAACAAAACAAUUGAUGGGUCAAUUAUCUAUAAUGGAAGCCUGGCUUCCAACUAUAACAGAGUUUAACUGAUUCUGCAAGCCAAACCCCGACACCUGUGUUAAUUAAAUACCACAAGUUUGAAGUUGUGUUAACGAAUACUGAGCUUCUGUCACACAAUUAUUCAAGGUGUUAAAAUUUUUGGUGUAAUUCUAAUGCAUUUUCAUGUGGCAUUUGUCUUCAGGGAAUGAUUUUCAUGCAGAAAAUUGGUAGAAUGAGAUAGAGAUUGCACAAUGCCUUGAUCUUAAUUGCUUGAUUAUGUGAAGCACUGUAUAGCUGUCAAUUUGAUAAACAGUUAGACUGUUUCUAUACCUUUUUUUUCUAUAUUGUAAACUGUUCCAAUCAUUUAAGUUUGUUCACCUAGACACACCAGGUACAAAUAGCUAGAUCAACAGCCAUUAAAUCCCUUGAUAUAGCCUUUUAUCUUUCCUUAUUCCUUUGUGCAAAUCAGUUGAUUGUGCAUUCAAACAGAUAGCUACCCUGUACUCAAUCAGUUAAAAAAAUCUAAAUUAUAUGCCUCCAAAUUCAUAACAUCUUAGGUUUAUAAGGGUAACUGUGAUAUCAAAAAGCAAUUCAGUCUUGUGGGUUAUUUUGCACUGGCAUUAAAACCUAAAUAAGAAAAUGAACAGUUAAAAUGGCUUCUAGAACACCGAUUUAGAACAAGCAGGGAGAAGACACCCCAUAAAUGUUUGCCCUUAUCUGACAACAUACAAACAUUGGCAGGUAAAAAUACAGUUUUUAUCUCUAUAGUCUCAGUCCUGGUAUAUAUAUAUAGAUCAAGGGGGCACCAUAAAUUAUUUGGUCAAGGAGCUUUCAGCAAAAGUCUCCCCCAGUUUCUUUGGAAACCCACGGAAAACGCACAUUGUCGUGACUUCUUUGUUGGUAAACGAAAAAGAUAUGUUGGAUAAAAGCAGAUGAUAUGUUACAUACAGGACAUAAAACUGUGGAUUACUGAAAGGAUGCAAUCGCUGAGGGACGUAUUUGCCGAGGGCUGGGUGGCUGCUAAAAAAAGUAAUAUAAUUCCUCUGGACCACAAAUCUAUACAUCAACAAGGCCAGGAAAAAGACUGAAAUGACCAUACAGCAACCAUAGACAUGAAGUACAGAUGAUUGGAUAUGGCAUAAUUAUCAAUAUGCUACGCAAGAUCCCUCAGGCUGAUGGAAAGCAUGAACAACAGCCAUACUUAUUAAUAUAUGCUACACAAGUUCCUUGCUGAAAAACUGAUGUAAUUGCUUGAUGCAGAGAAAUAUGAUGUUAUGCAAGAUGUUGAUUGAAUUUCCUUUGUUCUUGACUAUAAAAGGAGCUAAAGGAAACUUAAAGAAUUUUUUUUUUGAGAAUUGAAAGCAAUGAUGAGCCGAGGGUCUUCUAGCUCGACUCAGUAAUGGCAGAGAUGUUGUCAUGGCGAUUAAAAAAUCAAGGUCAAACUCAAGGUCAGCCCUCACUUAAUGCACUAACAGAUAGACACACAGACCAGAAAUCUAGAAGUCCCAAGAAUCUCCCCUAUAACAUCUACUUCCUUCCGUCUCCUGACCGCUGAUACAUGCAGACAGUGGGUUUCAAAAGUAAUUGUCACAUGGCUUAUACAUACGUAUUAGGUUUUCUGUGCGAUAAUUAAUAUUUCUUCUCUCUGUCAAGCCCAGCCUUCCAACAUUACAGAAAUGUCACAAGCAUACACACAUAAAACCUGAUGGAAACCCCCCGACUCUUACCUCUGAUAAAUGUUUUUUCACACAAAAGGGAAAGGGUUUGGGCCUUGAUAAAUACACCAUUAAACUGAUUACCCCCAGAAAACAUCGGUCCAUUAGAUAACAGUCUUCCCUUCAGGGGUUGCAGUGGUGCACACAUACGUGCAGAGAAAUACCCAGGACUGUGCAUUAAGACACAUGUUGACAGUUUUGUCAUGCUGUUGUCUAAUGAUUAUGGAUUUCCUAAUUCACCAUUAUCAUUUUACUUUCCUUGACAGACAUACAAGGUAAAUAUUAACUUACAUCUGUUUCUGAACAUGUAUAUAACCUCAUAUGUGUACACAGGCAAAGAAUCUAGCUCCAUGUUAAAAUAAUUUCCUAUUUUCUAUGGAUAAUGCCUCCAUGUUACUAUGAAGAGUUUCAAGAUUGACUAAGUUAUGAUAUCUAAAUAAUGUUGAAUCUGCACUUAACUGAUUUAAUAUUGACAUAAUCAUGUUAAUGCGUUAAGAUUUGUUUGGAUUGAGUCUCUUCUGUCUUAAUAGCAUUCACAGGAUUAUCACCUUCAGUUCUGUUUCAGGGUGGCAGAAAAACUAACUGAAGAUGACAUGGUCAACCAAAAAUUUUGAAAAUUGUGGUCAUUAGCAAAGAUAGGCAGCACCCAGGAACAACAAUUACAACUGACAACAGUAAACAGCCCAUUAGGAGGGACACAGUCCUGUGAUGUGGCAAUUAUAGGACCAGGUGACAGGAAAGAAGGACAACUCUUCACUUUCAUCAAUAACACAAAGAAUAGAAGAGGAAGAUAUUCCAUAUAUCCUAAAAGAAUUCAGACAUUUGGAUCGACAAAUAAACACAUGUGAGAGUGUUCCCCAGCUGAUGGUGGUGAAUUCAUGCCAUU
Long non-coding RNA from Magallana angulata, 2742 nucleotides. RefSeq lists it as uncharacterized. The transcript is spliced from 8 exons. NCBI's taxonomy places the organism in Eukaryota, Metazoa, Mollusca, Bivalvia, Ostreida, Ostreidae. The record is from RefSeq and is a predicted model, not a curated record.